UGUGGUGUUUGUUACUUUCCUCAUCUCUGAGUGCCAUCUACUUUGAGCAACUCCUUAAACAGACAAAUUUAAUUUUGCAAGCUCUAAUAACAUGCAGGGAGAAGUUACAAGUCUAAACUCUGAAUAAAUUGAGAAAUAAAGCUGACAUUUCAUUUAAAAAACUUGAAAACUCAGGCUAUUCCUUUUAUUUUCUGGGACAAGUUAGACUGAGAGACAUGACUAGUUUAUUUCUAAUUAGAUUUGUAAAUACCGAGUCUUAAAUCCGAAAGAUUCACUAAUUUAUUCAGGGUGGUCCCAUUGGAUGCACACAUGUCAUACAGCAGGAUCCAUACUUUCUUUGGGCAAAUUGGCUCCGAGAGGAGGACGUACAGCACUGAGCAAAAACAACCAGUUAGUCUUCCCAAAUAUCAUAUCCAGUGUAGCCAACGCUGAGAUUAGACACUUAUAAUAAUGAAAAUUUAUAUAUAGCAGGGGCAUGAUUGUUUUUUCUCCUGACUUUAGACUACUAGCUAUCAAAUGAAAAUAGAUAAAAUAUUUCCCUUCAGAAGGGCAAGGCAGGUUCAAUAGAAGGUGAAGUGCAACAGUACAGUGUAGUAGCCCCACCUGAGGAAGCUAUGAGGUGCACGAUGAUACAUCUUUUGUCACCAAUACGCCGUCCUCUGAUGCAAACUGCCUCUUUCAUGUUUCUGGAAUCGGCACCAACAAAACAAGAACUCUUUUGAAACUGCAGUCUUGGUAUUAGCUGUUCCUGCCAAAGUUAAGACUUAGAAUGAUGCCCAUCAAUAUUUUACUUGGAACAGGCAACAAUCAGUCGGUGAUGUCAAACAUGGUAGGAUCUGGAUUGAUUCCAAGUGUGAAGGGAGACCUUCAGAACUCUAUGCAGCCCGCCAUGGCUCUGCAGUCAGCUCUCAACUGCUGACUACAGAUUUAACGUGGCUGCACUCUUGAGAUCCUAGAUAUGGCCUAUGGAGACAAAAGAGAAGAGAGAGGCAUGUGAGGAACAUCCCUACUCCUUGAAUCAAGAGUGGGAUAAAAAAAACUUAAUAGCCCAAUUGGAGGAAAAUGAAGAGGAAGAGGAAAAGGGAGAAACAAAGGAAAGAAGCAAGGAAGAGAAAAGGGAAUCAACAAGUGGAAGAAAAAAACCAGGGAAGAAUGUAUAUAUGGCUGAAGAAAGGAGAAGGAAGACAGAGCCUAGCAUACUCACCUGUUUCUGAGCAGGGUUCUCAUAAUGAAGCUAAAAUUCUUUCACAAAGCUCACAGUAUGCUUCACUGCCUGUCAGGGCUAGGGCCUAACUAGCCCUAGCCUCAGUGAACCACAGCUUUCUGAUCUCCCACUUUGGGUGUUGGUUCACUUUCAUCUUUGUAGGUAAAUAAGAUGUUGGAUCUGAUGGGCUCUUGUGUAUGUUUUUGUGGGAUUAAUCCUGCAUUACUAUGAAGGCUGAUUUGAUGCUGCCCAGGUAAUCCCCCAGGUCUCAAGAUUCAAUCUUUCUUUCAUGAGAUCAAACCACCCUUGGAAGCUGUGCGAUUUUAACUACAGGUGUAUGCAUGUGUACAGCCAUAGAUCACUCCCCCACUCCUCCUGCCCCCCUUUUCCAAAUUCUCAUGAAUCAAGUGAGUCUUACCUUCUGGCUUAGUGCUCAGGCUUAGCUGCCGCACUAACUGCCCUCCGUGUAAUUUGGCAGAUCGCACUGCCUUCCCAGAUGCCUUUCUCAGUUACACAUGAUAUUAUCUAAUUGUAUUAUAACAUAUUGCCCCUUCACUUUGCAUCAUACCACAUGUCCACUUUCUACCAUAUUAAACUAUUUUACCAUAUGGUCUUUUGCCCACUUACUCAAGAAUUCCACUCAUCAUCCUGAUAGAUAUUUACAGUGAGGCCUAAGCAAACAGUAAUGUUUUAUUCCCUGGUUUUGCUAUGUCUGCUGAAGAAAGGAAGGCAAAAAAAUCUCUGCUCUUAUCAUCUCCAAACAGGUGGACUGACCAACAGACAGACAGGCAUACAUACGUGUGCACACACGCGCGCACACACACACACACACACACACACAGUGUACUCCAUCCAGUAAAAUCCUAUUCCAACUACAAAGUGAGGUACAAAUUUUGCCCUCUAAUUUGAUCAUUUACCUCCUGCUAUUUCCUAAACACC
Fukomys damarensis (Damara mole-rat) is the source of this 2143-nucleotide long non-coding RNA. NCBI's taxonomy places the organism in Eukaryota, Metazoa, Chordata, Mammalia, Rodentia, Bathyergidae. The record is from Ensembl.